This is a long non-coding RNA of Vespula pensylvanica (western yellowjacket), 1912 nucleotides long. RefSeq lists it as uncharacterized. NCBI's taxonomy places the organism in Eukaryota, Metazoa, Arthropoda, Insecta, Hymenoptera, Vespidae. The transcript has 2 exons. The record is from RefSeq and is a predicted model, not a curated record.
UUUUAAUUAUUCUUUUUAUAUAACCAAAAAAUACGUAUAUUGCUAUAUAAUUAGUAUCUAAAAAUUUCAAAUCGCGCGAUGGAUUAUAUUCCAAUUUCAUAGUAUCGUCUUCUUUCCUGGAUACGAUAAAUGUAUAUGCUUCAUAAACAAAAUCUUUCGACAUAUUAACGCGACAGUAAAACUACUUUUACUCGGUUUAGGUAAGGUCAACCCCUUGACCUCUGUAUUCUUAUCUCUUCAUUCCACCAAGAUUAAAUUGUAGCUAAGGAAAUAUAAUGACCGUAUCAGAAGCGAAGUCGUAAAAAAAAAAAAGAAAAAAAAAAAAGAAAAAAAAAAAAAGAGAAAAAGUUUUGAUUUGCGAAAAUUAUAACACUUUUAUAAAUGAAAGAGUAAAAAUGUAAAGUUUAUGAUUAUAGAAAUGUGUCAUGCUAGAUCAUCCUUAUAUUUGGAUCGUAUUUCACGAUCGACGUCCUGCCAUUAUUAAAAUCGAUGAACAAAUGUCGUUAAACGCCAUUGAUUCAAGGAUGAACUUGCAUGUGCGUUUGCCGCGUCUUUAUAACACAUGCGACCGUGAUAGGGAUAUGGACCGUAAAAGUACUGCAAGUGGGCGGCGGGCGGUAUAUAACUUACACACAUGUGUUACGCAACUGAAUCGUAUGAUCUCAUAGAUCUCUCUCGUGGCUUGCGUGUAUCGUAAAUUCUAAGUGCUACCGUAUUAGCUUGCACUCAUGCAUACAUAUGCUACGAGCAUCUGCAUACUUAGCGUUUUUCAAAAGGAACCUAUAUGACACUUUUCUUAUCGCUCCGACAGUCUAGCCAAAGAUUAACAAAGACACCAAGAUCCAAUGCUAAGAUGUUCGAUGUCAUGUAAAAUUGGAGAAGAAUCGUAAUUCUCGCGAUUACGUCUUCAUAAAAAGAGAAAACAGGAAAAGAAACAAAACUAUAGAGAUAUACAAGCUAUUAACUUUCAUAUUUUAAUCUAAUAAUAUUAUCGAUUGAAGAAAUAAAUUGCAUUAAUUUCUUCGCCGUCUUGUUUUACGGCUGAUCGAUUCAAUAUGCAUAUGUUCAUGCACGCACUGUCAUAGAGUGCAUCGAAGCAUAAGCGUUGCUUUAAAGCGAUUCAUAAUUUGUCUUGUUAUAGAGAGAAAAGGAGAGAGAAAGAGAAUAUAGUAUAUAUAUAUAUAUAUAUUUCUAGGUAAUAUCGAUAUGAUAUCAGUAACGUCAAAAAAUUAUACUUUAUUUAUGAAGGACGUAUUCAAGUUUUAUGUAUCUAUUAGUAAAGGGGGAAAAAAAAAAAUAAAAUGGAAUCGAUAGCGACGAGAACGAGACGACGACGACAAUGACGAUGACGACGAUGAAGCGAUAGUUGUGCUGGCAGUCAGUCAGAAUCUGGAUCUCGUGAGACGCGCACGUGUUUCAAAUCGAUCGAGAUAAGUGUGUUAAAUAUUGUUUUACAACGAAAGAAAAAAAGAAAAAACGAGGAAAAAAAAGAGGGAGAGGAAGGAUAAAAAGGAAGAAGGGAGAUUACCGUGUUCACAUAUUGAGACGAAGCCCACGAAUGUGCUAUAGCUUGCAAGAAGUGCAACGUCCUCCUUUAAGGAUGCAGCAGCAGCAGCAGCAGCAACAGCAGCAGCAGCAGCAGCAGCAGCAGGAGGUGCGAAGCGAACACUGUAUAAAAAUUAAAAGGAGUAGAAAGAAAGAUUUUCUUCGUCGAGGACUCCAAUCGUCGAACAGUACGCGUCGAAGUUAACGCGGGGGCGAUAACUCUGAUGUUCAUCGACUUUUUUAUACGGGACAGAGCCACUCCUAUCAUCGAGAUCGAUGAUCUCUGAAGAAGACUUUCUUGUAUUUCGUAUAUACGUUUUGUGUUCUACAGUGUUCAUUAUUAUUCGUUUCUUUAUUUUUUUUUUUU